UAUUAGGAAGGUGAUGGAAAUUGGUUUAAUAUUACCAAGCCAGUCCAUAGUUUGCCGUUGGAGCCGCAUGGAAAAUGUGUUGUAAGCCCAAUUGAAUGGGCAGGGCCGCUUGCGGCCCGCGCAAUACCCAACCGUGCCUAGAAAAUUCCAAUUUCUUACACUAUGGCUGUCCGUACCACAAACCAACACAGGUGGGUGGGCUGAAUAUGCUAAGGCGAAAGAGUGAACCCUUGUUAAGGAACUCUGCAAUCUAAUCCCGUAACUUCGGAAGAAGGGAUGCCUGUCGAAAGACAGGUCGCAGUGAACUGGGUCAACCGACUGUUUAUCAAAAACACAGCAUUGUGCAAAGACGCAAGUCUAUGUAUACGAUGUGACACGUGACCAAUGCGGAAAGAUUAAGGCAAGAGGUUAGCCGCAAGGCGAAGCUUUGAGUCCAAGUCCCCGUGAAUGUCGGCCGUAACGAUAACGGUCCUAAGGUAGCGAAAUUCCUUGUCGGGUAAGUCCCGACCUGCACGAAUCGUGUAACGAGUUGACCGCUGUCUCAACAAGGCGCUCAGUGAAUUUGUAAUGGCGGUGUAGAUGCCGCCUACCUGCAGAAGGACGGAAAGACCCUAUGCACCUUAACUGUAAGCUGUCACUGAAUUGCUGAAUUGCAUGCUCAGCAUAAGUGGUAGGCGUUGAUAUCUGUCUUUAGGGGCAGAAGGAGCCAACAGUGAGAUACCACCCUUGCUAUUCCGCGAUUCUAACAUGAAUCACAUUUGAAUGUGACUAAGGACAAUGACAGCCGGUCAGUUUUACUGGGGCGGUAUCCUCCCAAAAGAUAACGGAGGAGUGCGAAGGUUAGCUCAGCACGGUUGGUAAUCGUGUGUCGAGUAUAUAGGCAAAAGCUAGCCUAACUGUGAGACCAACAAGUCGAACAGAUACGAAAGUAGGUCUAAGUGAUCCGGCGGUUAAAUGUGGAAUUGCCGUCGCUUAACGGAUAAAAGGUACGCUAGGGAUAACAGGCUGAUUUGACCCAAGAGUUCAUAUCGACGGUUAAGUUUGGCACCUCGAUGUCGGCUCGUCGCAUCCUGGGGCUGAAAAAGGUCCCAAGGGUCCGGCUGUUCGCUGGUUAAAGCGGCACGCGAGCUGGGUUCAGAACGUCGCGAGACAGUUCGGUCCUCUAUCCUCUGUAGGCGCAAAAGAAUUGAGGGAUUCACCUCUUAGUACGAGAGGACCGGAAGUAACACACCAAUAGUGUACCAGUUGCCAUUUCAAGGGCACUGCUGGGUAGCCAAGUGUGGAAAAGAUAAGCGCUGAAAGCAUCUAAGCGCCAAGCUCCCCCCAAGACUAAUUCUUUUUAAAUCGUGGGAGACUACCACGUCGAUAGAGCGGUUGUGAAUUGUGGUGUAAGCCCUUUAGCAAACCGUCACUAAUAUUUAA
RNAcentral lists this ribosomal RNA (1422 nucleotides) under metagenome. RNAcentral's name for it is "bacterial LSU rRNA". It matches the Rfam family "Bacterial large subunit ribosomal RNA", at positions 1405 to 2915 of the family's 2925-position model. The record is from RNAcentral.